This 479-nucleotide ribosomal RNA is filed under the name uncultured organism. Its description in RNAcentral is "partial 16S ribosomal RNA". It matches the Rfam family "Bacterial small subunit ribosomal RNA", at positions 329 to 799 of the family's 1533-position model. The record is from RNAcentral.
ACGUACACUCCUACGGGAGGCAGCAGUGGGGAAUUUUGGACAAUGGGCGAAAGCCUGAUCCAGCCAUGCCGCGUGCAGGAUGAAGGCCUUCGGGUUGUAAACUGCUUUUGUACGGAACGAAACGGCGUUUUCUAAUAAAGAGGGCUAAUGACGGUACCGUAAGAAUAAGCACCGGCUAACUACGUGCCAGCAGCCGCGGUAAUACGUAGGGUGCAAGCGUUAAUCGGAAUUACUGGGCGUAAAGCGUGCGCAGGCGGUUAUGUAAGACAGUUGUGAAAUCCCCGGGCUCAACCUGGGAACUGCAUCUGUGACUGCAUAGCUAGAGUACGGUAGAGGGGGAUGGAAUUCCGCGUGUAGCAGUGAAAUGCGUAGAUAUGCGGAGGAACACCGAUGGCGAAGGCAAUCCCCUGGACCUGUACUGACGCUCAUGCACGAAAGCGUGGGGAGCAAACAGGAUUAGAUACCCUAGUAGUCCCAUG